Phyllostomus discolor (pale spear-nosed bat) is the source of this 2451-nucleotide long non-coding RNA. RefSeq lists it as uncharacterized. The transcript has 2 exons. The record is from RefSeq and is a predicted model, not a curated record. Lineage: Eukaryota; Metazoa; Chordata; Mammalia; Chiroptera; Phyllostomidae.
UGUCCUCAAGUGAGGAUUAAAAAGGGUAGAAUAUUGUCAGUGCUGUAGACAUUCACCCUCCCUUCUUUCUCAGUCACCUUACUCUUUCUUCAGGGGAACUACUUCCCUAAUGUUUGUGGUAAUCACCUCCUAGUUUUAUCUGAUAGUUGUAAUAUCGGUGUGUCCAUUCUUAAACAAUUUCAUUUAAAAAAUACCUGUUUUUGAAAGUUUAUUGUAAACAGAACCGUUCUUUAUAAAUUUAUGUGUAUAUAUCUUCUUAGUUCAGCAGUGUUAAUAAGACCAUGUUGUGUGCAGGUUGAGUUUGUUCAUUUUCAUUAUUAUAUGGUAUUUCAUUGUACAAAAUAAACCACUGUUUGUUUAUUCAUUCUACUGCUGGUAGUCAUUUGGAUUAUUUCCAGUUUUUGAUUUUUUGUGGACAUUGCCAAGAACAUUCUUGUACAUGUCUACAAGUGUGUAUACUUUUUUUUGCAUACAUGCCUGGGAAUGGGAUUACUGGAUCAUGGAUUAUGUAUAUCUUCAAUUUUUUAGGUAAUUGUAUACUCUGACCAGCAGGUUUUUCCUGGAAGUUAAGAAAAUUCAAUUCUGAAAUUCUUAAGACAAACAGUGAAGAAUAGAUAAGACACUCUUGAAGAAUAAUAACAAAAUGAUCAACUUUCCUUGUGUAUCAGAGAAGGCUAAGUUAUUUUGUGGUAACAAACUAAAAUCACAAUGUUAAACAUGCGAAAAUAUUUCUCAUCACCUUACUUGUCCACUGCAGAUUAGUAGGAAAACACUACAGCUUAUAGUCCCUCAGGAACUCAGGUGCCAAAAUUACACCAAGGUGAAUAUUAUUGUACUAGUUGCUAAACCAAGGGGAAAAAGAGCUCUGGAGGGUUUUGCACAGGCGGUUUUGCUCAGCACAUUACUUUUCUGCUCACCACUUGUUGACCAGAGCUAAUCAUGUGGCUCUGAUGAAUCACAAGGGAGCCAGAAAGUAUGAUUUUCUUAUCAUCCUUGAGAGAAGAAGGAACCAGAAGUACUUGGCAAGCAGUACUAAUGACUACCAUACUUUACCAGAUAUGAAAACUUAUAAAGCUGUAGUCAUUAAGAAAAUGUGGUAUCAACACAGUGUGACUAAUAGGCCAAUGGAACAAAAUCCAUUGUUUUAGGAACCGACAUAAUGGAAACUUGCUCUCAGCUCCAUGAUUCCAAAAAGAAAGUGGAGUUUUCAAUGAAUGGAGAUUAGAUAAUUGGUUAUCCAUACAGGAAAAAAAAGGAAAUUAGAUCCCUAUCUCAUAUCAUACCAAAAUUAAGAAUUUCAGAUGAAUUAAGGAUUAAAAUGUGAAAGAAAGUUUAAGUUUUAGAAGAAAAUAUGAGAUGACCCCAGGGAUAGAAAGGAUUUAUUAAAUAAGUGUUAGACUUAUUUAAUAAAUAAGACUGAAGACUGAAAAUCUACCUCUGUACACAGAAGGCAGGGAAAGACCAAAGAAAUAGUUUGGCCACUCCAUUGUGGUAAUUAAUAGAGUUUAUUAAGGAAAACAUACAUAUGAGGCAUGUCUUGGGCGGUAGCAAGACGAAGUGUAUCCCCGUGCCAUUAGGCAGGCACCAAAGAAUUACAUGGGGUAAGGAAGGGGAUAAUCAUGUGUGCUAGUAUAUGAAUGCUACCAGGUAUGGGAAAUUACAUGCUUGACCAAGUCAGAACAACAACCUGUUCCAGGAACCAGUGCAUAGCAGGAGGCAAGGGAGGAGUGCUGAUUUAUGUCAAAGUGAACAUCAAUUACAAGCAGUCUUUAAGCGGGCUUUUCAGAAAGCAACCUCCUUUCUGGCUUGGGUCCAGCUUCUGGGACAGACAGUAGUCUUGUCAUAGAACAGUCUCUUCUCCAUAGUAAGACAUGAAAAAUACAAAGUCAGAAAUAUUGAUACAUUGUUCUAUAACAAAACAUUCAAGAACUUCUGUUCAUCAGAUGACUCCAUAAAGAGAGUAAAGACACAAGGCUACAAGGUGGCAGAAAAUAUCCGCAAUAUAUAUAACCAACAAAAAAUUAGAAUCCAGCAUAGUACUUCAGAGAAGAAAUCCUGUAAAGAAUAAGUAAAAGAUAAAUGUGUCAACAGGAAAAUGGGCAAAUGACAUAAACAGGCCUUUCUCUGAAUAGGAAAUCAAAUGACCUUUAAGCAUAUGAAAGAUGCUUAUCCUCUUUAUGGAAAAAUACAAUAAAAAUUAAAUUAAAAAAUAAUUGUAAAUUAAACCAUAUCCUUCAGAUUAGUAGAAAUUUAAAAAUCAGAUAAAAUUGUUAAUUAAAAGGUGGAAGAAUGAGAAUUUACAUACAUUGUUGGUUGGAAUGCAAACUGAUACCACUACUUAGUAAAACAGUUUGUCAUUACAUUUGUCCAGUAAAAUUGAACUAGCAUAUACUGUACCACUCAGUUUUUCUACUCCUACAUAUAUCCUGUGAAAACUUCCUUGUACAUACA